CCUACGGGAGGCAGCAGUGGGGAAUCUUGCGCAAUGGGCGAAAGCCUGACGCAGCCAUGCCGCGUGAAUGAUGAAGGUCUUAGGAUUGUAAAAUUCUUUCACCGAGGACGAUAAUGACGGUACUCGGAGAAGAAGCCCCGGCUAACUUCGUGCCAGCAGCCGCGGUAAUACGAAGGGGGCUAGCGUUGCUCGGAAUUACUGGGCGUAAAGGGAGCGUAGGCGGAUAGUUUAGUCAGAGGUGAAAGCCCAGGGCUCAACCUUGGAAUUGCCUUUGAUACUGGCCAUCUUGAGUACGGAAGAGGUAUGUGGAACUCCGAGUGUAGAGGUGAAAUUCGUAGAUAUUCGGAAGAACACCAGUGGCGAAGGCGACAUACUGGUCCGUUACUGACGCUGAGGCUCGAAAGCGUGGGGAGCAAACAGGAUUAGAUACCCUGGUAGUCCACGCUGUAAACGAUGAGUGCUAGUUGUCGGUCGAUGCAUGCAUGUUCGGUUGGACGCGAGCUACG
This 506-nucleotide ribosomal RNA is filed under the name uncultured bacterium. RNAcentral's name for it is "bacterial SSU rRNA". It matches the Rfam family "Bacterial small subunit ribosomal RNA", at positions 338 to 856 of the family's 1533-position model. The record is from RNAcentral.